GGUGGCUCAGUGGUAGAAUGUUUGCCUUGCAUGCAUGAGGCCCUGAGUUCGAUCCUCAGCACCA
This 64-nucleotide transfer RNA is filed under the name Dipodomys ordii (Ord's kangaroo rat). It matches the Rfam family "tRNA". Rfam says of the family: Transfer RNA (tRNA) molecules are approximately 80 nucleotides in length. The record is from Rfam by way of RNAcentral. Lineage: Eukaryota; Metazoa; Chordata; Mammalia; Rodentia; Heteromyidae.